GAUGAACGCUGGCGGCGUGCUUAACACAUGCAAGUCGAACGGAAAGGCCCUUGCUUGCAAGGGUGCUCGAGUGGUGAACGGGUGAGUAACACGUAAGUGAUCUGCCCUGCACUGGGGGAUAAGCUUGGGAGACUGGGUCUAAUACCCUAUAGGACCGCAUCGUGGUUGGUGUGGUGGAAAGGUUUUUCUGGUGUGGGAUGAGCUUGCGGCCUAUCAGCUUGUUGGUGGGGUAAUGGCCUACCAAGGCGGCGACGGGUAGCCGGCCUGAGAGGGCGUGCGGCCACAUUGGGACUGAGAUACGGCCCAGACUCCUACGGGAGGCAGCAGUAGGGAAUCUUCGGCAAUGGACGGAAGUCUGACCGAGCAACGCCGCGUGAGUGAAGAAGGUUUUCGGAUCGUAAAGCUCUGUUGUAAGAGAAGAACGAGUGUGAGAGUGGAAAGUUCACACUGUGACGGUAUCUUACCAGAAAGGGACGGCUAACUACGUGCCAGCAGCCGCGGUAAUACGUAGGUCCCGAGCGUUGUCCGGAUUUAUUGGGCGUAAAGCGAGCGCAGGCGGUUAGAUAAGUCUGAAGUUAAAGGCUGUGGCUUAACCAUAGUACGCUUUGGAAACUGUUUAACUUGAGUGCAAGAGGGGAGAGUGGAAUUCCAUGUGUAGCGGUGAAAUGCGUAGAUAUAUGGAGGAACACCGGUGGCGAAAGCGGCUCUCUGGCUUGUAACUGACGCUGAGGCUCGAAAGCGUGGGGAGCAAACAGGAUUAGAUACCCUGGUAGUCCACGCCGUAAACGAUGAGUGCUAGGUGUUAGACCCUUUCCGGGGUUUAGUGCCGUAGCUAACGCAUUAAGCACUCCGCCUGGGGAGUACGACCGCAAGGUUGAAACUCAAAGGAAUUGACGGGGGCCCGCACAAGCGGUGGAGCAUGUGGUUUAAUUCGAAGCAACGCGAAGAACCUUACCAGGUCUUGACAUCCCUCUGACCGCUCUAGAGAUAGAGUUUUCCUUCGGGACAGAGGUGACAGGUGGUGCAUGGUUGUCGUCAGCUCGUGUCGUGAGAUGUUGGGUUAAGUCCCGCAACGAGCGCAACCCCUAUUGUUAGUUGCCAUCAUUUAGUUGGGCACUCUAGCGAGACUGCCGGUAAUAAACCGGAGGAAGGUGGGGAUGACGUCAAAUCAUCAUGCCCCUUAUGACCUGGGCUACACACGUGCUACAAUGGCUGGUACAACGAGUCGCAAGCCGGUGACGGCAAGCUAAUCUCUUAAAGCCAGUCUCAGUUCGGAUUGUAGGCUGCAACUCGCCUACAUGAAGUCGGAAUCGCUAGUAAUCGCGGAUCAGCACGCCGCGGUGAAUACGUUCCCGGGCCU
This 1360-nucleotide ribosomal RNA is filed under the name uncultured bacterium. RNAcentral's name for it is "bacterial SSU rRNA". It matches the Rfam family "Bacterial small subunit ribosomal RNA", at positions 28 to 1381 of the family's 1533-position model. The record is from RNAcentral.